CAGAAGCUGCUAAGCAAACCGCGACGAUACCCUGGAACCUACCGUAAUCCACAGUCGAGGUUCUUCACUCGUUCACGUGGGUUCAUGUAGCCACAAUGGCUUUCUUUAACUAACAAUCCGUGGUUUCAGUAUCACAUGCCAUGAAUUCAGUUGGGUUCGGCACUGGGCUAGCUGCUGCAUGGUUCCGGUGGCCAAAACCCUGGCCGGAAGGAUGAGGAUCUCCGUAGCAAUCAAUCCAGCACAAUAACGUGGAGCUGGGGUCACAGAACACAGCCUGCAAAAUUAGAGCAAGUGAGACCACAAACUCAUUUGCUUCACUCAAACUUGAUGUUAUGUCAUGAGAAACCAAUGCAAUCAUAAUGUGCUAGAACUGCUCCACAGCAACAACUGAACUCUAUGGAGAGGUGGGAGUUACAUUGCAGUGAAUCUUGCAUUUAUGUUAAAGAUUUUUUCACAAUUGUGUGCAUUAUUUGCACACUGCAAUUUUUCAAAAGAUGGACGAGAAAGUUGCAGUUUU
Physcomitrium patens is the source of this 517-nucleotide non-coding RNA. Lineage: Eukaryota; Viridiplantae; Streptophyta; Bryopsida; Funariales; Funariaceae. The record is from RefSeq and is a predicted model, not a curated record.